RNAcentral lists this transfer RNA (67 nucleotides) under Merluccius polli (Benguela hake). RNAcentral describes it as "tRNA-Ile". It matches the Rfam family "tRNA". Rfam says of the family: Transfer RNA (tRNA) molecules are approximately 80 nucleotides in length. Their secondary structure includes four short double-helical elements and three loops (D, anti-codon, and T loops). The record is from RNAcentral. Lineage: Eukaryota; Metazoa; Chordata; Actinopteri; Gadiformes; Merlucciidae.
UAGCUCAGUUGGUUAGAGCGUGGUGCUAAUAACGCCAAGGUCACGGGUUCAACCCCCGUAAGGGCCA